This 230-nucleotide ribosomal RNA is filed under the name uncultured bacterium. Its description in RNAcentral is "partial 16S ribosomal RNA". It matches the Rfam family "Bacterial small subunit ribosomal RNA", at positions 1118 to 1348 of the family's 1533-position model. The record is from RNAcentral.
UCACCGGCUUCGGAUGGGCACUCUAAGGAGACUGCCGGUGACAAACCGGAGGAAGGUGGGGAUGACGUCAAAUCCUCAUGGCCCUUAUGGCUGGGGCUACACACGUCUUACAAUGGGCGGUACAAAGGGUUGCCAACCCGCGAGGGGGAGCCAAUCCCAUAAAACCGUUCUCAGUCCGGAUUGCAGUCUGCAACUCGCCUGCAGAAGUCGGAAUCGCUAGUAAUCCGAUC